RNAcentral lists this ribosomal RNA (569 nucleotides) under uncultured Wolbachia sp. Its description in RNAcentral is "bacterial SSU rRNA". It matches the Rfam family "Bacterial small subunit ribosomal RNA", at positions 94 to 698 of the family's 1533-position model. The record is from RNAcentral. Lineage: Bacteria; Pseudomonadati; Pseudomonadota; Alphaproteobacteria; Rickettsiales; Anaplasmataceae.
AGUGGCAGACGGGUGAGUAAUGUAUAGGAAUCUACCUAGUAGUACGGAAUAAUUGUUGGAAACGGCAACUAAUACCGUAUACGCCCUACGGGGGAAAGAUUUAUCGCUAUUAGAUGAGCCUAUAUUAGAUUAGCUAGUUGGUAAGGUAAUGGCUUACCAAGGCAAUGAUCUAUAGCUGAUCUGAGAGGAUGAUCAGCCACACUGGAACUGAGAUACGGUCCGGACUCCUACGGGAGGCAGCAGUGGGGAAUAUUGGACAAUGGGCGAAAGCCUGAUCCAGCCAUGCCGCAUGAGUGAAGAAGGCCUUUGGGUUGUAAAGCUCUUUCGGUGAGGAAGAUAAUGACGGUACUCACAGAAGAAGUCCUGGCUAACUCCGUGCCAGCAGCCGCGGUAAUACGGAGAGGGCUAGCGUUAUUCGGAAUUAUUGGGUGUAAAGAGCGCGUAGGCUGGUUAGUAAGUUAAAAGUGAAAUCCCAAAGCUCAACUUUGGAAUUGCUUUUAAAACUGCUAACCUAGAGAUUGAAAGAGGAUAGAGGAAUUCCUAGUGUANAGGUGAAAUUCGUAAAUAUU